UAUCGCAUCCAGUUCUCUGUUGGUAGUAGUGAGUGUACAUCAACUUAUAAGAAUACUCGCGUGCCGUGUAAGAUCACGCGAUUUUGUGCAUCGGAAUGUGUUCUUAUCAGUUGCUUGUUUGUUUACAUUCGAGAAUCUACCUGCGAUCCGAACUCUAGCGUAGUGUUUCUUUAGUGUAUUGUAUUCGGGCAGACGUGUCUUAACUUGUCGCGUUUUAUGCGUGCAUAUUCCUCAGUCCUUCAGUUGCUUUAUUCGAUGCAUCUCGUGAUUCGUGUUAUUGCGUGACAUUUUAAUUAAGUAAAGUGCGUUAUUUUCGGUCAAGAAUUCACAUCAUUUAGCAGUUACUAAUGAGUUUGUGGUUUCACUUAAGUUUUAUCAUGUGUCGAAUAAUUAAAAACGUGAAAUAAGUUUGCUAUCGGAUAUUAAUGGAUUACAAAGGCUACGUCGAGCGAGCAGCAAUAUCUAUUUGCUGUGGAUAUGCGGACAACGACUGUACUUGUCGCACCCUUGCAAUUCGAUGAGCGUUGCAUUGUACUUUUUAUGAUUACAUGAUGCACUGGUAAGUUUGUAAACAUUAUUACAUUAUACUUUCAUAUUUAUCUAAAAUUGCAUGUAACGUGAAUACCGUAACAACACAAAAUUGAUGCGUUCCGUCGGAUGCGACUUGGAUCUACGCGCAGAGUAUGGUCAUGUCAAUCAUCGGUUUAAUAACGUGAAAUUUUCCUUGCUCGCAUUUUUAUUUUUAUUUUAUAAAUCUGCAGGCUCUUUAACGUAUUUUCGUAACUUGGCAAUUAAUUAUUGAGAGUAAUAUAUUUGUAAAAUAUUUGUAAUAUAUUUGUAUAAUGUAGCAAUUUUCUUCUUGGAUCACUCUAUGUUCUACUUUACCUUGCGUUCUAGCGUAAAACUGACUAAAUUUGUUGUUUCUUGGUCGUUUUCUACUUAAACUUUGUAUUUUAUUUUUAAAUUUAGGAAUUUCCUGUUUGUAUCACCCUGUAUGUUUGUUUUUCUUGAUUUCCUAUUAUAAGCUUUCUAAAUUUGUAUUCCCGACUGUUUUCUUUUUUGUACUAUUGAUUUUCUUUUUGUGAUGUAGUAAUUUUCUUUUUGUAACUCCCUGUAUAUUUGUUCCCAUUUUCACUCACGUAGAAAAUGGUCUAUUUCCUAAUUUCUUUAUCCCGGUCGUACUUUGCGAAGUGCAACUUGCUUGCCUGUGCGCGGCUAUGCAGGUCGUAAGUCCUGUUUCAAUAUGGCGACAUGUAUUCUGUUGACUUGUAAAAUAUAAACUUGUAUUCUAUUGUUAAUAAAGAAAUAGUAAGAUA
Long non-coding RNA from Dalotia coriaria, 1316 nucleotides. RefSeq lists it as uncharacterized. The record is from RefSeq and is a predicted model, not a curated record. NCBI's taxonomy places the organism in Eukaryota, Metazoa, Arthropoda, Insecta, Coleoptera, Staphylinidae. The transcript has 4 exons.